This 491-nucleotide ribosomal RNA is filed under the name uncultured bacterium. RNAcentral describes it as "partial 16S ribosomal RNA". It matches the Rfam family "Bacterial small subunit ribosomal RNA", at positions 29 to 507 of the family's 1533-position model. The record is from RNAcentral.
AGUGAACGCUGGCGGUAGGCCUAACACAUGCAAUCGCACGGCAGCACAGUAAGAGCUUGCUCUUACGGGUGGCGAGUGGCGGACGGGUGAGGAAUACAUCGGAAUCUACUUUUUCGUGGGGGAUAACGUAGGGAAACUUACGCUAAUACCGCAUACGACCUACGGGUGAAAGCAGGGGAUCUUCGGACCUUGCGCGAUUGAAUGAGCCGAUGUCGGAUUAGCUAGUUGGCGGGGUAAAGGCCCACCAAGGCGACGAUCCGUAGCUGGUCUGAGAGGAUGAUCAGCCACACUGGAACUGAGACACGGUCCAGACUCCUACGGGAGGCAGCAGUGGGGAAUAUUGGACAAUGGGCGCAAGCCUGAUCCAGCCAUACCGCGUGGGUGAAGAAGGCCUUCGGGUUGUAAAGCCCUUUUGUUGGGAAAGAAAAGCAGCAGGUUAAUACCCCGCUGUUCUGACGGUACCCAAAGAAUAAGCACCGGCUAACUUCGUG